RNAcentral lists this long non-coding RNA (397 nucleotides) under Nicotiana benthamiana. Its description in RNAcentral is "long non-coding RNA (NBEN_LNC042669)". Lineage: Eukaryota; Viridiplantae; Streptophyta; Magnoliopsida; Solanales; Solanaceae. The record is from RNAcentral.
UUUGAGAUGGUUUAUUUGGUGUCCCAAAUCACCGAUUUAUUUUUGAAUUCUCAAUCGAAGAAGAUUUCGACUUUCCUUUUGAAGUCUACAACCAAAAAUUCUGAAUAAGGAAUUAUGUUAACCCGAUGAAGGUGUUACACACCCCCAGAUUCCAUGGUUCUAGUACGAUCACUUAAACUAUUACAAUUGGCUUAUUAUAUAAUUUUAAUACAUGUUUUAAUCUAUGGUACAAUUUUAACUUUAUAACCGCUUUUAUUUGUUUUAAAAAAGAUUUUAACGUCGUCUAAAACAUGUCUUUGUAAGGAUUUGGAUUUUAGCGCCACAUGAAAUCCACCCACAACACAUUUUAUUCAACGUUAUUACGAUUUGGAUUUGGGUCACAUGAAAUGCACACCCG